Molecule: ribosomal RNA, 326 nt
Filed under: uncultured eukaryote
Lineage: Eukaryota
Description: partial 18S ribosomal RNA
Rfam family: Eukaryotic small subunit ribosomal RNA
Source: RNAcentral
UCCUUAGAUGUCCUGGGCCGCACGCGCGCUACACUGAACGGAUCAGCGCGUUUUCCCUUCCCGAGAGGGACGGGUAACCUGCUGAACCCCGUUCGUGGUAGGGAUCGGGGCUUGCAAUUAUUCCCCGUGAACCAGGAAUGCCCAGUAAGUGCAAGUCAUAAGCUUGCGUUGAUUACGUCCCUGCCCUUUGUACACACCGCCCGUCGCUACUACCGAUUGAACGUUUUAGUGAGGUACUCGGACUGAGCCUCAGAAGAUUCACGUCUUUUGUGCUGCUCGGGAAGAUUCCCAAACUUGAGCGUUUAGAGGAAGUAAAAGUCGUANCA